RNAcentral lists this ribosomal RNA (463 nucleotides) under uncultured bacterium. RNAcentral describes it as "partial 16S ribosomal RNA". It matches the Rfam family "Bacterial small subunit ribosomal RNA", at positions 28 to 507 of the family's 1533-position model. The record is from RNAcentral.
GAUGAACGCUGACAGAAUGCUUAACACAUGCAAGUCUUUGGCGAAGCUGUGCUUGCACAGCCUAGCCAAGGCGGACGGGUGAGUAACGCGUAAGGAACUUGCCCUGCAGUCAGGGAUAACAGACGGAAACGACUGAUAAGACCUGGUAAAGUCAGGCGGACUCAUGUCCAGCCUGAUGAAAAGAGAUGCUGCAGGAGAGCCUUGCGUCCUAUUAGCUUGUUGGUGGGGUAACGGCCCACCAAGGCGAUGAUAGGUAGCCGGCCUGAGAGGGUGGACGGCCACAAGGGGACUGAGAUACGGCCCUUACUCCUACGGGAGGCAGCAGUGGGGAAUAUUGGACAAUGGGGGCAACCCUGAUCCAGCAAUUCUGUGUGCACGAUGAAGGUUUUCGGAUUGUAAAGUGCUUUCAGCAGGCAAGAAAAAAAUGACGGUACCUGCAGAAGAAGCGACGGCUAAAUACGUG